This 434-nucleotide ribosomal RNA is filed under the name uncultured Lachnospiraceae bacterium. RNAcentral describes it as "partial 16S ribosomal RNA". It matches the Rfam family "Bacterial small subunit ribosomal RNA", at positions 341 to 792 of the family's 1533-position model. The record is from RNAcentral. Lineage: Bacteria; Bacillati; Bacillota; Clostridia; Lachnospirales; Lachnospiraceae.
ACGGAAGGCAGCAGUGGGGAAUAUUGCACAAUGGGGGAAACCCUGAUGCAGCGACGCCGCGUGAGUGAAGAAGUUAUUCGUAAUGUAAAGCUCUAUCAGCAGGGAAGAAAAUGACGGUACCUGACUAAGAAGCCCCGGCUAACUACGUGCCAGCAGCCGCGGUAAUACGUAGGGGGCAAGCGUUAUCCGGAUUUACUGGGUGUAAAGGGAGCGUAGACGGUCUAGCAAGUCUGAUGUGAAAGGCAGGGGCCCAACUCCUGGACUGCAUUGGAAACUGUUAGUCUUGAGUGUCGGAGAGGUAAGCGGAAUUCCUAGUGUAGCGGUGAAAUGCGUAGAUAUUAGGAGGAACACCAGUGGCGAAGGCGGCUUACUGGACGAUAACUGACGUUGAGGCUCGAAAGCGUGGGGAGCAAACAGGAUUAGAUACCCUGGUA